This 742-nucleotide long non-coding RNA is filed under the name Homo sapiens (human). RNAcentral describes it as "PREDICTED lncRNA (TCONS_00172252)". Lineage: Eukaryota; Metazoa; Chordata; Mammalia; Primates; Hominidae. The record is from RNAcentral.
CCACUCCGCCAUUUUCCUCCGGAAGUGCGGCACCCAGAGGCCGUCCUGUAGCCGGGCCGGCUUGGGGCUUGGUUCUAUGUCCCUGCGGGUCGGUGCAAGGGCGAAGAGGAACCCGUGGGCCUCAGGGGAUCCCGGGGGGCCGGACCAGUGUUCCCUAGUUGUGGGAGCAGACGCGUGGGCACAUUGCGGGCGGGCAGGGCCUGAAGUGCAGCUAUGUUUCCAGUGUCCUCUGGGUGUUUCCAAGAGCAACAAGAAAUGAAUAAAUCUCUGUUGAAGAGAUACCAUUUGACAUUUUAGAGAUGGCUGCAUGCAAACUCUUGAAACAUUUGACCACCCUCCAGGGUGCCCCGACUCACUUUCCCUGCAGAUGGAGGCAAGGAGGCUCCACAGACAACCCCCCUGCCUGAGGUCACAUAGUGGCCAGCAGGCCAGAGCUGGCGCAGAGAAAAUACAAGCUGAGCUUAGAACAUCUUCUGCCAGAAAGUAAAAAAGUGCCGACAGAGUAAUGGAGACAAAUCAAAGAGACAUAAAGUCAGCUUGGAAUGUCUACUACUGGCCUAAUCUUGGGGAAUUGGAGCAUCAGAAUCAUGAGCUUUCCUUCUCCCUUAUUUAUUGGUUUUAUUUCUCCAUGUAGAACAAAGAAGAGAAUAAGAAAAUAAUCAUCUGGUAACCAUCAUAGUAAUAAUUGUUCAAACACAAGUCAUCCAUGAAAUGCUAAAUCUAGUGGGUUCUGAGGAGUAAC